This 22161-nucleotide long non-coding RNA is filed under the name Brassica rapa (field mustard). Its description in RNAcentral is "long non-coding RNA (BRAP_LNC006891)". The stretch from base 15309 to 15414 matches the Rfam family "Plant small nucleolar RNA R71". Lineage: Eukaryota; Viridiplantae; Streptophyta; Magnoliopsida; Brassicales; Brassicaceae. The record is from RNAcentral.
CCGGAAGCUUCUGGAGGAUGCAGCUGCUUGUCUACCUCCUUAAGCAGCUAGACAUGUCUUACUCCUUUACUGGAGAAUCCUCCAAGCAGCUCUUGCUUAUGUCCUAUUGGUUGAAUUGGUGGCUGGCCACAAAACUUGUUUUAAUUGGACAGAUUUGUGGCUGCACACCAAUCUCUCUCCAAUUGGUUGCAUGGGGCACCCAGGACAGCUCCUGCUUGUAACCCACGACCUAUACCUUCUCCUGAGCUCAUUCUCCAGCCUAUAAAUAGCAGACCACCCCCUUAGUCAUUUCUCAUGCUUAGAACCCUAACCAUAGCAGCUCGAAAAAGUCGAAACCCUAAGGUAAAAUGUUUUUGUCUUUAGCUUUCUUUUUAUUUAGAUUUUGUUUUUUAUUUUUUUUUAUUUUCUUAGUUAGAACUUGGAUAGCCUUUCUUAACUUACCCCUUCCUGUAUUUAUAUUUCUAAAGCUCUAGAGUUUUCCGAUAAAAGUUUAAAGUGAAGCCGACCGCAAGAUAGAAGCGUUUCCAGUCCAAAACUUUCAUCUAAGUGUUGAGGUGAGUCUCGGUUAUGGGUUAUGAUUGUUGUGUGUGCGACUAGCGCCUGCAAAACAAGAGUAACGGUUGAUGCAUUGCUAGGUUGCGCGUUUAGAUAUAUAAUGAUAUGAUAAUGAUUGAUGUUUGUGAAAGAUAUUGAGUUAUAUCAUCGGGCUUCGGCUCGAGGGGUAUAACAUGAUUGUGAUACAUUGAUGUUGUGUUGCAUAUACUUAUGUCAUUGCAUUAUAUUUUUUGGGCCUCGGCUCAGAUAAUAUAACAUGUUUGAUCAUAUCUUAACGGGGAAAUCCGUAAAUCCACGGACUUGAUCCGUGAGAGUCCGACACUCGGGUGGAGUGUCGUGAGAGUCAUUGGUGUCCACUCGAGGCCCGUGCCUUGUCCAGGGCCUUACCAAAAUUAGUUCCGGGCAGGACGCGAAGACACGUGUGAUAGGGCUAGCUACCCUCGACCGUGUAGCUGCAUGACGAUGCGGCAAGUGUGUUAUCUGGGCCAUCGGCUUUUUAGACUUUGUGUUUAGAGUCAAUGGGCGCAAGAAGGGAUGUGUUAUGGACUUCGUAUCGAAAUAGGAACCAAUGGCGAGAGGCAGUCCUCGAUGAUCAAUAAUGAUCUAACCACUCGUGAAGAGUGGAUGCUUUUUUACAUGAUUGCUUUAUUUUUGCAUUGCAUAUUUCUUAAUAUAAUUGAUCCUUGUUGCUAAAUGUUUGAUGCAUAAUGGGGGGAUAAAUAAUUGUUAGGAAACCCGACUCACUGAGCAAAAUAGUUGCUCAUUAGACUCUUUGUUUUGCAGGUAACCCGUAGUAGUAGGUUCCAUUUGGGAUCGGAGGAGCACAAAGCUGUUGGUGUAGAUUUGCUACCUUUUGCAAGCAUGUACGUUUUGUAAUAUGUAAGAUAUGGUUUUGAACAUCGGCCGAGCAUGUAUAAAUUUUUGAUGUGGUUGAACCUUAAGUAUAUAUAAAAAAAAAAGGGUUUGUGAAAUGCUUGGAUUCCAUAUGAUACUAGUCCUAGUCUGGGACGAACUAACUAACGGUUUCAAACUCGGGUUGCAAAGCCUUAACUUGGAAUCGCUAGGAAACCCGUUCUUAGACAUAUGAUCUUAGGAUUUCAGAUCUGAUCUAGGAACCUCGGAUCAAAUGUUCGGGCACGUGGUAGUAGUAUCUUCGAUCUGGUUAGAGGUCUUUAGUUCGUCGUGCAUGUUCUUGUUUGACUGGUGCAUGGCAAACUAAUUAACUUUUAUUUAUUCCGGAUCGGGGGUGUUACAACGAAGGUGGUAUCAGAGCAUGGUUCACUUUGCUCACUUGGGAACCUGUUUUCAAUAAUUUAUCGAGUCAAAGGUGUCGCAAAAGGUAGAAUAGGAAACCAACAUGCUCCUUUGUUAGAUAAGUUUUGAUUAGUACUUACCCAGGGUUGUACUGCAGUAUGUUUCCAAGACGUACAAGGAGUGAGGAGCCAAUGAUGACACCACCAAAAUAUGGACAACGUAAUUCUGAAAACCGCAGAGUCUAUUCAAACCUUGAGGUAACAGAUGAUUCUGCGAUAGCACAAGGAAAUAACCAUUGCUAUGAACACGAACAUGAGUCGACUGGGAGAAAUCCGACGGAUUCACAUAUGGGCUAUGAGCAAGAAGAACGAUAUGAGGAUCUGAGGGAGAGGAAUCAAGCACCUGAUAUGUAUGGAUCAAGGCGGAAUUAUGCAACAACACAUAAUCCAAGGCAGAAUGAAUCUGAGUUCAUGCACUGGGAAAGGACGCCCGAGCCACGUUGUAGGCAAGAACAGAGGACAGCUGGGAGUUCUAAUCCUCUUAUAGUAUUAGUACAAGGCUUGCUAGAUAGACUUGAUCAUAGAACCGGUGAAUCAUCAGAGCGAAGACCAUCCUCCCCUCCUGAUUACCUGAAGAUGGUCACGUUAAUGAAGAAAUUUGGAACCGUUAGAUAUACUGGAGGAACAGAUCCCUUCGAAGCGUCAACAUGGCUGAGGAAUUUGGAGAAAAACUUUCGGGCCAUCCACUGCCCUGAUAAUUUCAAGAAGGAUGUGGCAAUAUACUACUUGACCAAAGAUGCUUCUGAUUGGUGGGAUAACGUGGAAGAAUACUAUAUGGGAAGAGAGAUCGACUGGGAAGAUUUUAAAACGGAAUUUGAACGGAAAUACUUCCCACCUAAAGCAAAAGACCGGCUGGAGAUUCAAUUUUUGGAGUUAACUCAAGGCAACCGGAAAGUCAGGGAGUAUGAGGCAGAGUUUACAAAGCUAAGGAAAUAUUCUCCUUAUGGAGCAAGGAAUGAAGGUGCACUAAUUCGAAGGUUUAUAAGAGGAUUGCGAGCGGAUUUGGCUAGCCGACUGCAAGUAGUGAAGUUUCAUAGCCUUUAUGAAUUGGCGGAGAUAGCGGUAAAUGUUGAAGAAGGUAUGGAAAAGGAGCAAGCCAUGAUGAAGCAUCCAGAGCCAUCUCGCAGAACUGAAGGGCUAGGAGUACGAAGAAUGAAUAAUGUGGGAACCGAAAUUCACACUGUCGAUUUCCAUUUAAAUAAGGAAACUAGGAAAACCCUAAUUUUCCAGAGGACCCGGAUAUCUGCUAAUUACCACACGUCAAGCAAUCAGAACACGAGAAUAACAACGAUAAAGUAUAAAAAAUCGAAAAGAGAGCAAAGUAGAUCUUAUUCCGAAUCUGCGUAUGAGCGUUUACAACAAGGUAUAGGCCUGGGCUCGAGAGCUGUCGGCGAGAUUCCUAGUUCUAGCAACCCUAAGACGGCUAAACCUAAUUGAGUCGCAGCUCGAAAUAACAAAAACGGAAAAUUGCCUAAAUUGCUCUAAGUGCUAAGUUUGCUCUGAAAAAGUUCUCCCUUCUGCUCCUCGCCUAGGACUCCUUAUAUACUAGCUCUAAGGUCGGUUUACGCUUUUACUCUUCUGCCCUUAAGCCGUCAUAGCAUAAAAAUGGAGAUAUUCCAUUUUUCCCGAUCUUCCCAAUUAUCUUCAAAACUUCCGUAUUUAUCCGCGGAAACUUGACAUUUAUCCUUCCUUGUGGGCCAAGCGUAAACUAUGCUGUGGUUUACGGGCUUUUGGCUAGGAAAAAUCGUAGGAUGGGCCUCGAAUCGUGUUUUAGGUCCCUUUGGGCCGUCUUCCGACUCGAUAUGUUUACUACGAGUUUUCCGCGGUUUCCAAUCCGCGAAGUUUGAUCGAUGAAUUAGAAUAGCGGGAAACAUGGAUUGAGCUUGCUACGGUCUUCGGGAGAUAGCAUUUGAAGGUUUGACGAGAAUGCAAGAAUUGGUGUUGUAUCGAUGUUCGGAAAGGUUCAAUCGCUACACAGCGACCGAACUAUGGCUCGAGCCCGGUCGCUUCGUAGCGACCGAGCGGGACGAGCGCUCGGUCGCUACGUAGCGACCGAGCUUUGGCUUGAGCUCGGUCGCUACGUAGCGACCGAGCGGGACGAUCGCUCGGUCGCUACGUAGCGACCGAGCGGGACGAUCGCUCGGUCGCUACGUAGCGACCGAGCGGGACGAGCGCUCGGUCGCUACGUAGCGACCGAGCUUUGGCUCGAGCUCGGUCGCUACGUAGCGACCGAGCUUUGGCUCGAGCUCGGUCGCUACGUAGCGACCGAGCGGGUCUUUGGCUCGAGCUCGGUCGCUACGUAGCGACCGAGCGGGACGAUCGCUCGGUCGCUACGUAGUGACCUGUUUCGAGCUUUCGUCGGACAUCUCGAUUCUUUCUUCCGCAAAGCUUUUUCGUAAGGAAGAAUCUAUUUCGAAAAGUAGUCUUCGGAGAAAUUCUUAUUUUCUUCCUCGGACGUUUUGAAUGUUAAAUUUGUCGUAACCGUUUUUGACCCCAACAGUUAGCCCCCCAGCCCGUUAGAGUUGUGACUCUAGCGGGCGGAUAGAUGACUUUGACAAGGUUAAGUGUAUUGGACGAAAUUUACAUUUAAAAUUCCGCGGAAAAAAGUUGUCGAGACGACAUUCCGAACUCAUACUUCUAUAAGUAGUGAGCUCUUGUCAUUCAUUUUCUUCACACCUUCCCUUCUUCAUUCCUUCAAAAACCUCUCUAGUUUCAUAACUUUCCUUUCAAUAUGUCUUCCUCCCAAGGUGAUAAGAAGGAUUCCGACGUCGAGAUGGGUGAGGCCACUUCUCCGGCUCCUGUUCCAACUUCUCCGGCGGAAGCGCCGGCUUGUAUUGCCGGUCAUCUUUCUUUCCGAGAGAAACUAGUUCGUCGCCAAGCCGAGAAAGAACUAGCUCAAGCUGGCUCCGAGUUUCCGUCUUCUUCCGCGCAGGUCGUUGCCCCGUGUCAUGGGACCGAAGUCAUGGCUCCUCUCCCGCCAGCCCUACCUGCGGGAUCUUCCACGACUCUGAUCCUCGUUGAGGACAAGGAGAAGGCCGCUGACUCUAUGCUUCCUCCUCCAGCCAGAAAAGAAAUCGUUCUGGCAUUGCGUGCUCCUAGCGCUGUCCUGGCUACUCAGCCUAAGAGUCGGAAGAGGAAACUUGCAAGAGUGGUGAAGGGGAGAAUUCGCAGCGAGGUGGAUCAAGCCUAGCAUCGGGACUUCGCGGAAAGGUUUGUCUUUUGAAUUCUCGACCGUCUUUUGUACAUUCUUUUCUCGGACUUAGUCUUAAGAAUUUUCACCGUUCGCAGUUUAUAUCGUUGAUCGAUGGGAUGAUCAGCGACUGUGGUUCUGAGACCAGUCGCCUUUCCGGGGAGUUGGUGGAGCUUCAGGGCAGAUGGUCCGAAACCGAGGCCAUGUUGACGGCUGUCAAGGACUCUCACUCUGCGAAAGUGUCGAAGCUCGAGGUUGCGAUAGGAGAGCUUGAGAGGGACCUUGGGAAGACGGCAAGUUCCUUGCUUAAGGAAAAGAAGGCUAGGAAGGCCAAAUCCUCGGAGGUGCGUCGACUCCAGCGUCAGAUCGAGAGUGACGCGGGACUAGCGCGCCGCGGGAUCCAAGAGGCUACGGAUGCCCUUCGCGCGGAGUUUCAAGCUCGCUUGGCGAAGAUUUCUGCUUCCCUGGGUUCUCUCGAGUGUAUCCGGAGCAGGGAUCUAGCUUUGGCGACGAUUGAGGGCGGGAUGGCCGUGGUUCGGUCGUUCCAAAGUGAGACUCCCCCGACCUUGGAGGCCGAAGAGGCCCGACUGUCCGGCUGCAAGGGAGAUAUGGCGGCAGAGGAUGGAGAUUUCGGUCUCAUCCUGGCCGACCAGAAAUCCGCGUGCUUCCUUCCGACGUGUUCAGAAGACCCAGAGGGGAAAGACCCGAUGGUCGGAGAAAACGGAGGUGGCACGGCUCCAGGCUCGGACGAGGCAGCGGGUGAAGAGGGGGCGUAAGUUCUGAGGAUGACUUGGGUUAGAUCUCUUGCGAGAGAUUUUUUUUUGUUUUUAUGUUUGGCCUUGAAUGGCCUUGUUUGUAUUUCGGGACUGGCCGUGUGUGGCUUUGAAUCCCUGCCGCUCCGCGGCUUCCUUUUUAUGGUACGAUAAUCGGAUAACGCUUUUUAUGGAUUUGUGAAUAGUGGGGAGGAAGGUGAUGAGUUGUCGUCUCAUAUCCUUCUUCGAUUGUGAAAUGUUUUAUUCGAGAUCUGUUUCGAGAGUUCUUCCGCGAGAUGUGAACUCUGCGGGGGUGCUGAAGGUGUCGAACAUAAACAUAGAGGCGUGGUUUAAGAAUCUCCUAUCUUUCGAUAUCAUGCCUUUGAGAUGUUAGAGACCAGUGCGCUGGGUUUAGGGCAAGACCUAGGUUUACUUUCGGUUUAAGGAUUGUGCGGUGACUAACCGGCUAUCGUUUUUCCUGUCACGAUUUCUUCCUGAUUCGUAUCGAUGUAAAGUCCGCGAAAAUUUCUCGGCUUAUACGACUUGUUUGAUACGAAUUGAGCAUCUCUCCGAAGACCGAAAGUGCUAGACCAAAAUUUCGGAUUUCUUUUAUAGCGCUAUUAUCCUUGUGUCGGAUGUAAGAGAGCCAUCUUCGUGAGAUGACUAUGUCUGUUUAGGACGUUUGUGAGUUCGAUGUGAUCAGCAUCGGACUUGGUGGCGCGUGCCGUUGUUUUGAUUGUUUUGGGCAAAAUAAGUGUUAGUGUGUGCAUAUAUGAGCUUUGGCUCGAGCUCGGUCGAUACGUAGCGACCGAGCGGGACGAUCGCUCGGUCGCUACGUAGCGACCUGUUUCGAGCUUUCGUCGGACAUCUCGAUUCUUUCUUCCGCAAAGCUUUUUCGUAAGGAAGAAUCUAUUUCGAAAAGUACUCUUCCGAAAAAUUCUUAUUUUCUUCCUCGGACGUUUUGAAUGUUAAAUUUGUCGUAACCGUUUUUGACCCCAACAAAUAAUAAAGGACAAUUAAAUCGAGGGAGAGGCCGAAGAAGAAGGAAUGACAGACGGUUUACGAAUGGCCCAGAUGUGUGUUACACUUGUGGUGGUACAGGAUAUUUUUCUAGCAGUUGUCCUUAUAGUCAUGGAAGAAAAGCCUCUGAUUAUAUUACUUGCUUCUCGUAUGGUGAGAAAGGGCAUUAUGCCAACAGUUGUCCCCAUACGAGGCAAGUUACGCUUCCAGCACCACCCACUAGACUAGCGAUUGAACCAGCCCCGAAGCGCCAGGCAGUUGGAAAGCAAGUGAAUGCUUUAGAGUUAGGAAAAUCCGAACCACAACAGCCCCUUCAGGGACCAAUCACAGGUAAGUAGUGUUGUAACUCAUUGCUUGUUUGUGUGAAUUUGAUGCAUGAAAUAUAAAAUGUGAAAUAAAUAUUGUUUAGGAACAUUGUGUGUUGGUGGAGUUUAUGUGCAUGUUCUCUUCGACUCGGGCGCCACACAUAGUUUUGUGAUACCCGAGGUAGUGUCGAGUUUUAAGGGAACCUUUACUAGAGUAAAGGUAGGUGUUUCAGUUAGAACCCCUGGGAACCAUAACCUUCGUGCCGAUAGUUGUGUACUUGGGAUUCCAAUCUAUGUGGAUCAACGGUAUAUCCGGCAGACCUGCUAGUUGUUCCUUUAGGACAACACGAAGUUAUUUUGGGCAUGGACUGGCUGUCGAGAUACUACGCACAGUUGGAUUAUGGUCGAGGAAGAAUUACACUUGAAGAAAGCGGACAACCAUCAACGACAUACUAUGGAAUAUGUCCAAGUGCUGGAGUGUCACUUGUAUCUGCCUUAAGAGUUGAGAAAGAUUUGAUCGAGGACGAGGUAUAUCUUGUAACUCUAACUACCCUUGGAGGAGAAUUGAAUGAAAGGACAAAGUUGGAAGAGAUAACAGUAGUAAAAGAAUACCAGGAUGUAUUCCAGCCAUUGGAAGGAUUGCCUCCACCACGAAGUGAUCCUUUCACCAUUACAUUAGAGCCGGGAGCAGCCCCAAUAGCUAAGGCACCUUAUCGAAUGGCUCCAGCUGAGCUUGCUGAAUUAAAGAAGCAGUUGGAAGAUUUGAUAGAAAAAAGGAUUUAUCAGACCGAGUUCUUCACCAUGGGGAGCACCAGUCUUAUUUGUAAAGAAGAAAGACGGUACCAUGCGGUUAUUGAUACCACUCAAAUUACCCUAAGGAGUUUUACUCUCAUCAAAAGAGGUUCAGAUGUAGUACUUAGGGAUCAAAUCCACAAGGAACUAGGGAACAAUUAAAUCUAAUGUUUAUUAAUUCUAAAGGUUGCAAAUGUGUAAAUGAAAUAGCAAUAGUAACAAGCGAGUAAAUAAUAAAUGUAACUUGGUUGAAAAUGAUAUUAGAUGCAGGGCCACUAUUCAGGUAUUGGAGAUUAUAAUACCUAUAGAUGCCUAACUGUUGCAUGCAUUAUAUAUUAGAGCUCAUUCGCUUAACUCAGUGAUCAGCUGUCGCAUGUACCACUGGUUAACAGACUAGAUCUCGUGUCUCAACGGUUAGUAUGUCGACGACGAGAGAGUGUCGAUCGAUGGUCUAUUAAGACGUCAGCCGAUACACCUUUGCCAACGUCGAUCGAUUGUCAGUUGAGGACAUCGAUCGACGGGUUCUAGCCAGGCCUAUGCGCUAGUUUGAAAUGCCCUACUAAGAUACUAAAUUAGCGGUUAGCCCUCUCUUGCAGUCCUAGUGUGAUAGAUAAAUGUCAGGAUGGGAUAAUAAGGGUGCUUGAGUAUGCAAUCCUAUGAUCAAGUUCUUGUUAGAAAGGCUAAAACAAGCAAUGAAUACAAAUCUAUCAUGAAUAUCACAACAAGGCAGAUCUAUAGUUUGGGGCUAAUCCCACAAACCUAUCUGAACCUUGGAUCUAAUAAUUGAACUACUCAGACAUAGCAAAGCAAUUCAUAACAAUAAAGGAAUAGAAACUCAUAGCAUAGAUGAAAAGAAAUGAAAACAAGGAGUUCCAAUCACAAGUGAUCUUCUCUCCCAAAUGAAACUUGUAACAAAACUAGGUCUAGAAAAAGCUCUCUGCCGUCAAAAUACUUAGGCAGUAUAUAUUCUACUAGGUUAAAAACUCGUCAGGGUAUUUUGGUAAUUUGGCUUGGCCUUGGUUUUUAUGUCAGCUGAAUCCAAAAUGUCGCGUGUCUGGUGUCUCGACAUCGAUCGAUGGUACUUGUGUACAUCGAUCGAUAUUAAUCUUCAUCUGUCGAGGCAUCUCCUGAUAUCGAUCGUCAGCACUAAUGCGCAUCGAUCGAUUGUUCUUCCUCUCGUCGACCUCUACGUGGUCAGCUCGGAUGAAAUGUUCUUUAAGCUCCAAAAUGCUCCAAAGUCAUAGCUUUACUCCGAAAUACACCUGAACCUGAAAACAUACCUAGAAGAGUAGAAAACAUAGAUAUAUAUAUAAUAAAAUACUUAUGUACAAUGGAUAAAAGUGGGUCAAAUCCAAGGUAUAUCAACUCCCCCAGACUUACCCUUUUGCUUGUCCUCAAGCAAAACAUACAGGCAGUCUCUCUGAAAGAGGUUUGAAAAUAUUAGGGACUUAAGAUUUUAAAGCAUAGAAAUCUUUCCUCAACAAUUUUGCAACCACAUUUAAAAAGUCCUAAUCACAAAAGCACACUAUGCAAUAUCCUAGCUUAGCAACCAUUUCUAACAUAACACAACUCAUCAAUUCACGUCUGACAUCCCCUCUACUGAUUUUAUUUCUUAGCAUAAAUAUAAAGUGAAUGCUUUACCUUGGGAGUAUCGAUCACAGGAUGCAAGGAUUUCAGACAGGUAUCUGGAGCUGCAGGUAAAAGUUAGUUCCUAGUUUCUCUCUCUCUAAAUUUCUCUCUUGAGUCAAAGUCUGCUUCCACAGCAGGAUCAGUGACCAAGAUUGGACAGGCUUCCAUGAAUCAAAACUUAAUGGUGGUUGCCACCAAGUUCUGUUCACUUCUUUUUGACCUAUAUCCAGGAGUUCUUUGCGAAAGCGAGCCUUGAAGAUUGCCGCCUCCAAGUCCCGUUUCAAACUCUUUUAUUUGAGUCUUUAUGAAUCAAGCCUUAAUGGUUUUAGCCACCAAGUCCUGUUCAGACUCAUCCUAAUUAAACAAUAGAUCUUAUUUAUUUUUUUAUUAUUAUUAUAUAUAUAUAUAUUUUUUUUUUUUAAUAUUCACUAACUAAUCUAGGGUCGAAAUUUAGAGAGAGAAAAUGUGAUAAAUAUUCUAAACUAGGCGUUACCUUCCAGACCUGUCUGAAGAAUCCGAUCCCAUGUAUACCAAGUCCCAAGACAAGCGGUUAUGUCAGGUUUGGUGUUGGAAAUCAUCUUUGGUUACUUCAUACGGUUCAAGACAAGUGUGUAGUUGAUAGGUUGAUCCGCUUUAGCAUCUUUAGUGCUAUCUGCAAUCAGUAAAUCUAAAAUGGUGGUAAAGAUUGGUUAGAUAUUCAAGUUUAAAUCAAUAUAAGAUUAUUGUCCUUAUUUUCAAUAGCUAAGCAUAAUUUAUUAAAAUUCCUUUUUAUAUAAGAAUAAAAUAAAUUAUAUCAGUAAAUCUCCCCCCAGACUUAAAUUACAUUGUCCCAGUGUAACUCAACCGGAGUUAUGAUAAAUAGUUUACGAUGUAAGAAAUGUAACAAGUAAGGAAGAUACAUCUGACCGGAUUAGAUAUUGAUCGAUGUGUAAGUGUUACAUCGAUCGUCGUGUGGUUGUCUAUGUCGACGUCUCAUCGUCGGUCGAUAUUCAGGUCCUCUUACUUGGGUCUCCUAAAUCUGAAAGAAAUAAAACGAAAGUAAAUAAAUGCUAGCUAAUAAAACCUAAAUAAAAUACCUAAUAGUGGGUUGCCUCCCACUCAGCGCUUGGUUAUAGUCAUUUAGCUUGAAUGUGGUAGUGAUUGGCUAUUGGGUGGAGAAACAGCUGCUUGUUGGAAAGUAAGCACCCACAUCAUCUCUGCACAUUCUGGACCAAGAUGCAAUGAAACUUCUUGUGGCCUCAUCAUUUCUUGUCCAUUUGUCAUCCAUCUUCUCAAGUACAUUGGAGAUGUUCUGUAGCCUUUCUUGAAUGUUGUCAAUGCUGACCUGGUGCCAGCCUAUGGUGUCAUAGGCGUAUGCUGAAAGAUCUGUCAGUUCCUUUUGCAUUGACUCUACUGUCUUGUGUAUCAGCUGCUCGCCGAUUGGUGUAGACUCGGCGUCGAUCGAUGCGAUUAUGUGUUCGUUGGUCGAUCUCGGCGAGUUGCCAUCGAUCGAUUUUGCUUGUGUUCUGUCGAUCGAUGCUGAUAUCUGGUGUUAAGCUGCGAGUUGCCUCUGAAUGGCUUUGACUUCUUUCUGUAGCCAUUCUGCGUGGCUGUCUAGUCCACUGAUUUUGUUGUCGAAUGGAAAGUAGAUGUCAUCGCAGCGUUUGUCAAGUCGUUCCUCCAUGGUGUCUAGAGCAGUGUAGAUCUUGGAUGUGAUCUUUUCAACCUCUGCUGCUGUGUAAGGAAGUAACUCCACAGGUUUCUUGCCAUCGAUCCAAUGCCCUCGUAGCCUGUCGAUCGAUGCUGAUUUUGCCUGCAAAAAAUUCUGAUUAGUAAUGUUCUCGAUAUCUUUUUGGGCAUGAAGUAAUUGACUAGACAAUUUGUUUAAAUAUGUCAUGACUGGUGAUAUAAAGCGGUCAUGCAUAUCCUCGUAAGUCCUCAGCCUCUCAUUCAUGGCUGAGACUUUAGCGUCGAGCGAUGUGAAGGUACACAUGUCGAUCGAUGUGGCUGGUUGUUGGUCCUUCUUGCGAAUGGUGUCCAGAUCUUGCUGUAGUAGCUCGAUUUUAGUGCUUAGCCAGUCCACGUUGUUGUUGAGAGGGCUGUAAACGUCGUUUAUCCUCGUGUCGAUGUAUGAGACUUCCCAUUCAUCCCUGUGUUGUGUUGAACAUUGCGGUUCUGCAGGGAUCUGAGCUGUAGGAAGACUGACGUCGAUCGAUGUUGCAUGUCGUGCGUCGAUCGAUGUCGAGGUCGUAGCUUCCUUCUCAAGUUGCUGACGUGAACUCUCAAUUUCUGUCCUCAUUUCUGCCAUACUUCUGAAAAUCUCAUUGUAGCCUCUAUCCAAAGGCUGAUGUGUAACUUCUACUAAUGUUUUGAGCUCAUCUCCCAGUUUCUCCUGAGCUCCACAAAUACCAAAUACCAUCUCAUCGAUUUCAUCUUUGGUGUAGAGUUCUGGUGCUAGUCUUGUGAGUGUGAAGGAAGUGGCAUGUUCUGGAAGACAGAUGUGGCUCUCUUUUAAAAAGUGAUGCUCUUUACAGUAAUUUCCUGAUGACGUCCUUUGUGACAGGUAUCAUCUCACCAGCUAAGCCUCGUGCGUGGCCACACUCAUCUCUGUAGACUCCAUACUCGUCCCUUUGUUCCCAAGUGAACUUUCUGGCUGCGUACAUGUCAAAAGCGCGGUUCCCAAAUUCAUACCGUCUGUCGGUCGACGUCGGGUCAUCUCUAUCGAUCGAGGUUGGUGUUACCCUGUCGAUCGAUGUCUCGGUUGUUCCGUCGAUCGAUUCUUACCCUUUUGGUUGGCGUGAUAAAUCUGGAUUGAUCUCUGUUGUGGCGACUCCUACGUGGUUUUUAGGAUCUGUUUUAAUGACGUCCGGAGUGCCACGUUGCUGUGAGAAUAGGUUGUCAGGUCCAUUGGCUACUUGAAGGAUGUCUGAUAUGUCCUCUCUGGACACUUGUAAGAUCCUUCCAUCUAUUGCACGUGCGUUGCCAUCUGGGUCCCUGAAAAUACCAAAUUCAUCAGGUGUUAGAAAACCGUAAUCAAUGUUUGCAUAAUCAUUCAGUUUAGAAAUAGAAAGAUUAUGGUUUAGAGUAGUAUCGAUCGAUGUAGAUACAGUUGCAUCGAUCGAUGGCAGAGUAAUUUCUGCAGAACUUGUGUUCUUGAGAUGAUUGAUCUUCAUGGAUUUUUCUGUUGAUGUAGAUGGAAGAGUGUUCAUCUUUUUUGCUUGUGUGUCUGCUCUGAUGUGUGUAGGUGGUUUCGGGGGUGCAAAACGAUUUAUAUAGGUAUCUUUAAACCUAGUUGGGGAGAGAAUAUUCUCCUGCUCCUGUAUUUUCGCUGCGGCGCGAAUAUCGAUUGAUGUUUCUGUGUGAGUGUCGAUCGAUGUGAGCGGUUGUUUUGCUGGACGAGGGUGGGUAUCAACCGAUGUGGAGUGCACAGCGUCGAACGUUGUUGGAAAUGUGUUGGUGAACUCAUGUGUUUCAAGUCUUUCAUCCUGCAAAGACAUCUCUAUUGCACGUUCUUUCCAAUAAUCCUUAUCGUAUUCCUCUGUAUGUUCCUCACUAGGUGAAGCAAUUACAGUGUCAACUGCAAAACUUUCAUGAAAACCACUGUCUGCCCAACUGCCUAUGGAAUAAUCAUCAUGUCCUCUCUUGGUUGGAAGGCAAAAUGUUGGUAUAAAUGAUUAGGUGGAGCGAAAUGGUCAACUGGGUGUAUUACGUUGAGUGACGUGUUGUUGCGGUCAUCGGUCACCGUUGACUCAUUGGAAUCGAUCGAUGGAAAGGUUGGGGUGUCGAUCGAUUCCGAGUACUCUGUUUCGUACUCUGAUUCAUACUCUGCUCCACAAUGGCAUGCGCCAAUGAAGCCAAGUUCUUUCCCGUAAUCCACAGAAUUAAUGACCUUUCUCUUAGGUCAAUGGGGUUGUAGUUGAUGUUUGGGUCUAUGAGCGUUAGACACAAUUUGUUUUUGUUCAUGUCACACACAGCUCCUACUGUAGCUAGGAAAGAUCUUCCAAGCAGAAGUGAAGAGUUCCAGUUAAGCUCGAUGUCUAGGACAUGAAAAUCUACAGGGACAAGGGCAUUACCAAUCUGUACCUCCAGAUCUCUUAUGAUUCCUCCUGAUUGUUUCUCUGAAAGAUCCACGAAGGUGAAGGAUUCCAUUGAAGGUUCGAUGGUCAAACCAAGCUGGUCUACCAUGAUCCUAGGGAGGAUACUAACUGAUGCUCCUGUGUCACACAUUGAAUGGGGAAAUUCAACACCCUUGACUACGCAUGGUAUUGCAAACUUCCCAGGAUCACUCUUCUUCGUCAAUGUGAUCCUGUGUUUCAUCUUUUCUCUGACUUGAUGAAACAUUCUCCUAAUGUCCUCCUCAGUUACCUUUGUUUCUCUGAAGAACAUCCACAACCGGUGUGUGAAGUAAGCUUCAUCAAAAGGUUUUUCGAUUGGGAUUCUGAGGAUUCUCUUAGUGAAACCAUCCAUCUCUUUAUCGUUAGCUUUCCUCUUAAGAUUUUUAGGAAUCUUCUCCUUUAUUUUCCUUAACCUUCUCCCUUCAGAUUCUUGUUCUUCUUGAACUGAUUCUGGUGUACUAUUUAAAGGGUUGGGUUUUGGUUCGGGUGGGUUAGCUAAUGGUUUAGGUAGUGGUCUGAGUGCGUUGAUGUAAUCAUUAUCGAUUGAGGGUAACCGCACUCGGUAUGUCAGAGGUGCCUGUCUAUCGAUGGGAGGUGUGUUGUGACGAUCGACGUCGGACUCACUCUGUCGAUCGAUGGUUGGCUCAACCGAUUGAUCGAUUUUAUCAUAGAAAGGGGAGGGUGGGUGAGGAUGCUUAGCUGCGAAUUCUUCAUGAGUUAGAAUUCGAACCGCAUUGCAAUCAGUCGAUUUAGCGGACGACGUCGUUCGAUGACUGGAGUAAUCCGUCCAUCGAUCUUCAUCAUGGUCUGUCGAUCGAUGUGAGUUCAUCGACAUCGGUCGACACCAUUGAGAACCGCCGAGACUCAUGGAGCUUUCGAUUUCGAAGUCUCCUUCCUCGAGCUUUUCAUUUCUCACCACUUGCCAGAAAUCAUCAUCUAUGAUGGCAUUUACGUGGUGUUUCCCUUUGUCGGCUCCUGCCUCUCUGGCGAAAGCUUCUUGCCUCUUUAUAGUCUCGCCCGUCUGAAUUACUUGGGUUUCAAGUUUUCUCACCUGAGUCCCUAAGGUCUCAAUUUUGGUGUUCAGAUUGUUGUAGGCGGAGUCUAUUUUACCGUUGAAAUCCACGGUGAUUUGUUGUUGUCCCAACAAUACUCGAUCAAGCAUCUCUUCGAUCUUGCUUUCCUGAGUCUGGGGUGGUGGAUUUUGGUAGUAAGAGUUCGAGUAGCUUUUGCUGUUGUUGAAGGGUUUUUGAAAUUGUGAACUUUGGUUACUUCUUUGGCCAUUUCCAAAGAAAUUUCUGUGUCCGCCCUGGUAUCCAAAUUUCUAGAAUCUGGUACCUCCGAUGUAAUUCACAUUUUCUUCUCCUUCCGUAUCUGCUACUUCUCCUUCAGCUGAACAGACUUGCUUCCUAAGAAGCUCGUGCACCACAUCUAACUUAGCUCUUACUUCGUCCAUCUGUUCCUUUUCGAUAGAGGCUACAGACUUCUUCCGUUCAGAGUCAGUGUUUUUGGUGCUGCUGCUGUUAGCAAGGUUUUCGAAAAGUCUCACAGCUUCCAACGGAUUCCGAGUAGUGAAGUUUCCUUCACUCGCCGUAUCAAGAGCCAUUUGAUACUGUAAGGCGAGACCUCGGAAGAAAGUGCUUAGCAGCUGCACUUCGUUAAAUCCGUGGUGUGGACAGUCUCGCUGGAAGAACCUAAAUCUAAUCCACGCAUCUUUGAAGGACUCUCCAGCCUUCUGUGAGAAUGUGGAAAUUUUGUUCCGAAGUUCUUCAGCGCGCGAUCGAAGAAGUUUCGUAAGAAAUCAUUCUUGAUGUCGGUCCAGGAUGUUAAAGAUCCUGUGGGUUGCUGCCUAAGCCAGUGCAUCGCUUCUCCAUUCAGCGUGUAUCUAAAGAGCUUGCACAACAGGUAUUCUUCGAGGACUCCUUCCAUCCGAAUAGCAGCAAUUAGAUCCUCGAACCGUUCCAAAUGGUCCAUAGGAUGCUCGUGCGGUAACCCAAAGUAGGGUAUCUGCGACACGAGAGUGUAGUAUUGAGGCUUCAGCUCGAAAUUCUGUUUCUGGAUCUCCGGAAGUCGAAUAGCUGAUCUGUUGGAAUAGUACUCAUCUGGGCGAUUGUAGUCGGCCAGUGGUUUCGAUCGAGCGUCCCCAUCUACAGGUUGAGCAGCUCCUGUAGCAUCAACAUCAGAGAUUACAGUCCCCUGAGCAUCUAUUUUCUGACCUGUUGCAUUACGCAGAUGACCGGCCUGGUGAUACAGGUUUCCGUUCUCGUCAUGAGUUAGAAUAAUAAUGUUUACCAUUUUUGACGACACGGUAUCGAUUGACGUACGCGGUGUAGUAUUAAUCGUUGUCGAACUAUUGGGAUCAAUCGACGAUGAUGGUCUGGUGUCGGUCGAUGGUUGGUUGUGCGUAUCGAUCGAUGACGAAUUUGUUGCGUCGAGCGAUGUGGAACGUUGACCUCUACGGAUGGUGCGUUCCAAAUGAGCAGGAUCGUCUGAGAACAGCAAGUUUUUCUCCUUGUUGCUUCUGGUAUCGCUGGGCAUGCACCUGAAAAGACAAGAAAAAGAUUAUUAGAAAAGGGGUAGAGAAAAGAAUAAGAAUCAAUAAAACUAAAUCUAAUGGCGAUCAAAGCUUCCCGGCAACAGCGCCAAAUUUGAUACCACUCAAAUUACCCUAAGGAGUGUUACUCUCAUCAAAAGAGGUUCAAAUGUAGUACUUAGGGAUCGAAUCCACAAGGAGCUAGGGAACAAUUAAAUCUAGUGUUUAUUAAUUCUAAAGGUUGCAAAUGUUUAAAUGAAAUAGCAAUAGUAACAAGCGAGUAAAUAAUAAAUGUAACUUGGUUGGAAAUGAUAUUAGAUGCAGGGCCACUAUUCAGGUGUUGGAGAUUAUAAUACCUAUAGAUGCCUAACUGUUGCAUGCAUGAUAUAUAAGAGCUCAUUCGCUUAACUCAGUGAUCAGCUGUCGCAUGUACCACUGGUUAACAGACUAGAUCUCGUGUCUCAACGGUUAGUAUGUCGACGACGAGAGAGUGUCGAUCGAUGGUCUAUUUAGACGUCGACCGAUACACCUUUGCCAACGUCGAUCGAUUGUCAGUUGAGGACAUCAAUCGACGGGUUCUAGCCAGGCCUAUGCGCGAGUAUGAAAUGCCCUACUAAGAUACUAAAUUGGCGGUUAGCCCUCUCUAGCAGUCCUAGUAUGAUAGAUAGAUGUUAGGAUGGGAUAACAAGGGUGCUUUAGUAUGCAAUCCUAUGAUCAAAUUCUAGUUAGCAAGGCUAAAACAAGCAAUGAAUACAAAUCUAUCAUGAAUAUCACAACAUAGUAGAUCUAUAGUUUGGGGCUAAUCCCACAAACCUAUCUGAACCCUGGAUCUAAUAAUUGAACUACUCAGACAUCGCAAAUCAAUUCAUAACAAUAAAGGAAUAGAAACUCAUAGCAUAGAUGAAAAGAAAUGAAAACAAGGAGUUCCAAUCACAAGUGAUCUUCUCUCCCAAAUGAAACUUGUAACAAAACUAGGUCUAGAAAAAGCUCUAUGCCGUCAAAACACUUAGGCAGUAUAUAUUCUACUAGGUUAAAAACUCGUCAGGGCAUUUUGGUAAUUUGGCUUGGCCUUGGUUUUUAAAUCUGCUGAAUCCAAAAUGUCGUGUGUCUGGUGUCUCGACAUCGAUCGAUGGUACUUGCGUACAUCGAUCGAUAUUAAUCUUCAUCUAUCUAGGCAUCUCCUGAUAUCGAUCGUCAGCCCUUAUGCGCAUCGAUCGAUUGUGCUUCCUCUCGUCGACCUCUACGUGGUCAGCUCGGGUGAAAUGUCCUUUAAGCUCCAAAAUGCUCCAAAGUCAUAGCUUUACUCCGAAAUGCACAUGAACCUGAAAACAUACCUAGAAGAGUAGAAAACAUAGAUAUAUAUAUAAUAAAAUACUUAUAUACCAUGGAUAAAAGUGGGUCAAAUCCAAGGUAUAUCAGUUAUGCAUCGAUUAUAGAGGGAUUAACAAUGUUACAGUAAAGGACAAGUAUCCCUUGCCAAGGAUCGAUGAAUUGUUGGAUCAGCUUCAGGGGGCAAGCUGGUUCUCAAAGAUAGAUUUGGCAUCGGGAUAUCAUCAAAUCCCAAUAUUAGAGUCCGAUAUCAUGAAGAUGGCUUUUAGGACCCGGUAUGGCCACUAUGAAUUUGUGGUAAUGCCUUUUGGUCUUACUAAUGCGCCGGCUGCUUUCAUGCGCUUGAUGAAUGAUAUAUUUCGUGAUUACUUGGAUAAAUUUGUAAUCAUCUUUAUUGAUGAUAUACUUAUUUAUUCCAAGAGUAAAGGGGAACAUACAGAGCACCUCCAAAAGGUGUUGGAGCGAUUAAGAAGCCAUAAGUUGUUCACCAAGUUUAGUAAAUGUAGUUUCUGGAAAAGGGAGAUUGGUUCCUUGGUCAUCGAGUGUCAGAGAAGGGAGUUGCAGUAGAUCCUGAAAAGGUUAAAGUAGUUAAGGACUGGCCACGCCCUACCAGCGCUACCGAGGUUCGAAGCUUUCUAGGAUUGGCUGGGUAUUAUCGAAAGUUUGUGAGGAACUUUUCCAUCAUGGCCAAACCCUUGACGAGGCUGACUGGGAAAGAUAUAUCAUUUGAAUGGGAUAAGAAAGAGGAAAAGGCUUUUACACAAUUAAUGGAAGCUUUGACGACAGCACCUAUUCUUGCAUUACCUACUCAAGGAAGACCUUACACAGUAUACACUGAUGCUUCUCGAGUAGGACUGGGUUGUGUACUGAUGCAGGAUGAGAGAUGGCCGCAGUGGUAUUUUCUUUAAAAAUAUGGAGAUCCUAUCUUUAUGGCGAGACGAUUCAAAUCUUUACUGAUCACAAGAGUCUCAAGUAUCUCUUUACUCAGUCAGAUUUGAAUUUGAGACAAAGGAGGUGGAUGGAGUUUAUCACGGAUUAUGACUUACAAAUCCAAUAUCACCCAGGAAAGGCGAAUGUGGUAGCAGAUGCACUGAGUCGGAGGAGAAGUGAUACAGCUAUUGAGAAGGACUUAGAAGCCUUAAACGCAGAAUUUAAGAUGAUUAGUCUUUCAGCCAUAGAAGGCGAGGGCAGCGAGCCAUUGGGAUUGCGAGCAGUGAAUCAAGCAAACCUCCUGCAAAGAAUUCGAGAAGAGCAGAAGGAAGAUGUGAAGCUAAAGAAGAUUAUAAAAGAACUUGAAGAACCAGGCGGAAGAAAUGAUAGUGGUUAUCAUUUAGCUGAUGACAGAACCCUCCUACUGAACGGAAGGAUAACCGUACCUGUAAGAAAGGAGUUACGAGAAGAGAUCUUGAGAAUCGCACACCACUCAAUAUUAAGUAUUCAUCCUGGAAGCACCAAGAUGUACCAGGAUAUACGUCGAUACUAUCACUGGCCAGGAAUCAAAAAAUCAGUUGCUAAGUGGGUAGCUCAGUGCCAGACCUGCCAACAAAUUAAGGCUGACCAUCAAGUGCGGGAGGAUUAUUGCAAAGCCUACCAAUCCCAGAAUGGAAGUGGGAGUCAGUGGCUAUGGAUUUUGUAACGGGACUACCUCGAGCACCAGGAAGAGGGAAUGAUACUAUAUGGGUGGUGGUAGACUGACUAACUAAGACUGCUCAUUUUCUACCCAUUAGAAUUGCUGACAAGGUAGAAGUACUGGCAGAAGUUUACUUAAAGGAGAUAGUACGAUUACACGGAGUUUCUGCCAACAUAGUAUCUGAUCGUGAUCCAAGAUUUACGGCUCAAUUCUGGAGAGCUUUCAAGCAAGUAUUGGGGACUAAUCUUCAUAUGAGUACGGCGUUUCACCCUGAAACUGACGGGCAGACGGAGCGUACAAUCAGAACCUUGGAAGAUUUGCUAAGGAUGUGUGUUUUAGACUGGUCAGGUACAUGGGAACAAUACUUACCUUUGGUAGAGUUCUCUUAUAACAACAGUUACCAUGCAAGUAUUGGAAUGUCCCCAUAUGAGGCAUUAUAUGGACGACCUUGCCGCACACCACUGUGUUGGGCUGAAGUUGGAGAAAGACAUAUGUUAGGACCAGAUGUAGUAGAUGAAACAACAGAAAAGAUAAAGAUUGUCCGAGAGAAUAUGAAGAAAGCUCAAGACAUGCAGAAGAAGUAUGCCGAUCAGAAUAGACGUGAAGUAAUAUUUCAAGUUGGUGAUUGGGUAUAUUUGAAGGUGGCCGCACAGAAAGGGAGAGAUAGAUUCGGAAAAGUGGGAAAGUUAGCCACUCAAUAUAUAGGACCAUACUGAGUGAUGCAACGGGUUGGAGAAGUAGCCUAUCAAUUAGAGUUACCAUCAGAUAUGGCACUUCACCCAGUUUUCCAUGUCUCAAUGUUAAGAAGGCAUAUACGAGAUCCUACCGAAGUAGAGCCGCAACGAAUUGAAAACCUUCGCUCCAACCUCACUUACCCUGAAGGACCACUUCGAAUCGGAGAAAGACGAAUAAGAAAACUGAAGAAUCGAGAGAUUCCUCAAGUGCAAGUAUUUUGGGGAAAACAGCGUCGAGUAAUUGUGACAUGGGAAGAUGAAGAGAGGUUUAGAGCAACUCAUCCUGAACUGUUUUUGGAAGAUGAUGAAGAUCAGAUGGGUGGAGCAUCAAACCACUAAGAAUUCGGGACGAAUUCUAUUAAGAGGGGGAGAAUGUAAUUACCCUCUUUAAAGAGUAAAACGCAGACAGGGAAAAAUCUUGUAACAUCCGAAAAAAUUACUCAAGUAAGUGGAAGUCGGAUUGAUCUUUUCCCGUGGAUGUUGUGGAUCCCAAGGUACAUAAGAAAAAUUUAGAAAGUCUUCGAAUAGUUUUCCAUCUGAAGAAAUACAUUCUUCAGGAAGUUUAGUGGAUUGAAAAUGCUCGCGGUUCGGCCUAGAACGUCCUAGUCGGACGAGAAAAUUAAUCGAAAAUUUAUUAUAAGGCCUUAAGAUAGGAAUGACCUUAGAGUUAUUUUAGAAAUGUUUAGGUCUAAGAAAUCUAGGUUUUUGUCAAGGAAAAACAUUUCCGCCAGCUCGGAUAAGCUUAUAACACGUUCGGGAUUUAAAUACGGCCAAUUCGGGCCCAUCUACGAUGUGUUAAGCAUAUCCGGAAGCUUCUGGAGGAUGCAGCUGCUUGUCUACCUCCUUAAGCAGCUAGAUAUGUGUUAUUCCUUUACUGGAGAAUCCUCCAAGCAGCUCUUGCUUAUGUCCUACUGGUUGAAUUGGUGGCUGGCCACAAAACUUGUUUUAAUUGGACAGAUUUGUGGCUGCACACCAAUCUCUCUCCAAUUGGUUGCAAGGGGUACCCAGGACAGCUCCUGCUUGUAACCCACGACUUAAACCUUCUCCUGAGCUCAUUCUCCAGCCUAUAAAUAGCAGACCACCCCCUUAGUCAUUUCUCAUGCUUAGAACCCUAACCAUAGCAGCUCGAAAAAGUCGAAACCCUAAGGUAAAAUGUUUUUGUCUUUAGCUUUCUUUUUAUUUAGAUUUUGUUUUUUCUUUUUUUUUUUUUUAUUUAGAACUUGGAUAGCCUUUCUUAACCUACCCCUUCCUGUAUUUAUAUUUCUAAAGCUCUAGAGUUUUCCGAUAAAAGUUUAAAGUGAAGCCGACCGCGAGAUAGAAGCGUUUCCAGUCCAAAACUUUCAUCUAAGUGUUGAGGUGAGUCUCGGUUAUGGGUUAUGAUUGUUGUGUGUGCGACUAGCGCCUGCAAAACAAGAGUAACGGCUGAUGCAUUGCUAGGUUGCGCGUUUAGAUAUAUAAUGAUAUGAUAAUGAUUGAUGUUUGUGAAAGAUAUUGAGUUAUAUCGUCGGGCUUCGGCUCGAGGGGUAUAACAUGAUUGUGAUACAUUGAUGUUGUGUUGCAUAUUCUUAUGUCAUUGCAUUAUAUUGUUUGGGCCUCCGCUCAGAUAAUAUAACAUGUUUGAUCAUAUCUUAACGGGGAAACCCGUAAAUCCACGGACUUGAUCCGUGAGAGUCCGACACUCGGGUGGAGUGUCGUAAGAGUCAUUGGUGUCCACUCGAGGCCCGUGCCUUGUCUGGGGCCUUACCAAAAUUAGUUCCGGGCAGGACGCGAAGACACGUGUGAUAGGGCUAGCUACCCUCGAUCGUGUAGCUGCAUGACGAUGCGGCAAGUGUGUUAUCCGGGCCAUCAGUUUUUUAGACUUUGUGUUUAGAGUCAAUGGGCGCAAGAAGGGAUGUGUUAUGGACUUCGUAUCAAGAUAGGAACCAAUGGCGAGAGGCAGUCCUCGAUGAUCAAUAAUGAUCUAACCACUCGUGAAGAGUGGAUGCUUUUUUACAUGAUUGCUUUAUUUUUGCAUUGCAUAUUUCUUAAUAUAAUUGAUCCUUGUUACUUAAUGUAUGAUGCAUAAUGGGGGGAUAAAUAAUUGUUAGGAAACCCCACUCACUGAGCAAAAUAGUUGCUCAUUAGACUCUUUGUUUUGCAGGUAACCCGUAGUAGUAGGUUCCAUUUGGGAUCGGAGGAGCACAAAGCUGUUGGUGUAGAUUUGCUACAUUUUGCAAGCAUGUACGUUUUGUAAUAUGUAAGAUAUGGUUUUGAACAUCGGCCGAGCAUGUAUAAAUUUUUGAUGUGGU